UGGGGAAUUUUGGACAAUGGGGGAAACCCUGAUCCAGCCAUCCCGCGUGUGCGAUGAAGGCCUUCGGGUUGUAAAGCACUUUUGGCAGGAAAGAAACGUCAUGGGUUAAUACCCCGUGAAACUGACGGUACCUGCAGAAUAAGCACCGGCUAACUACGUGCCAGCAGCCGCGGUAAUACGUAGGGUGCAAGCGUUAAUCGGAAUUACUGGGCGUAAAGCGUGCGCAGGCGGUUCGGAAAGAAAGAUGUGAAAUCCCAGAGCUCAACUUUGGAACUGCAUUUUUAACUACCGGGCUAGAGUGUGUCAGAGGGAGGUGGAAUUCCGCGUGUAGCAGUGAAAUGCGUAGCUAUGCGGAGGAACACCGAUGGCGAAGGCAGCCUCCUGGGAUAACACUGCCGCUCAUGCACGAAAGCGUGGGGAGCAAACAGG
RNAcentral lists this ribosomal RNA (429 nucleotides) under Acidobacteriota bacterium. RNAcentral's name for it is "Acidobacteria bacterium partial 16S ribosomal RNA". It matches the Rfam family "Bacterial small subunit ribosomal RNA", at positions 355 to 776 of the family's 1533-position model. Lineage: Bacteria; Pseudomonadati; Acidobacteriota. The record is from RNAcentral.